GUGGAAAUGGGAACCGGAGCGAGAAGCGGGAUGGAGGGGGGUUGGAAACCAGAGACCCAAAGAGGUUUUCCCAACCCCUGGAAAAGUGAACAAGAAAUAUGCUCCUCCAAGAAGUAGUUGCAGUUGGAAGCAUACCACAGAAGAAACAGAACUCACCUAACCAAGAGACCUAACAAUGCAAAUGGAAAGAAAGAUUCUCUCUUUUAUAUUAUGCCAGAUGAAAGAGAUGGACAAGGCACACUUUAAAAGACCACAGUACAGAGGCAGGAGAAGCUGGAAGCAAAGAGGAAAGCCAGCAUCAUAUGAUCUGCCAGAUCUUCUACCUCGCAAGCAAGUGUUCCACAGGUCACCAGUAGCCCUCAGGUCACAGUUUGAAAGGCUCUGGUUUAAGUUCAUUAUAAUUUUGUAGGUAUAUAGAUGUGGAAUUUCCCUGUGCCAUACCUGAGGGAAGUGCAGUUUCAAAUCUGGG
This is a long non-coding RNA of Terrapene triunguis (Three-toed box turtle), 469 nucleotides long. RefSeq lists it as uncharacterized. NCBI's taxonomy places the organism in Eukaryota, Metazoa, Chordata, Testudines, Emydidae. The transcript has 4 exons. The record is from RefSeq and is a predicted model, not a curated record.